UGGGGUAGCUGUAGGGGGACGCAGGAAGGUAAGUGAUCCCGGGCGAUGGUUGUCCCGGGGUAAGCGUGUAGGGCGAGGUGUAGGCAAAUCCGCACCUCAUAUAGCCUGAGACGUGAUACCGAGUCGAUUUAGACGAAGUCACCGAUCCUAUGCUGCCAAGAAAAGCCCAGCAGUGAGUUGACACGGCGCCCGUACCCCAAACCAACACAGGUGGACAGGUAGAGAAUACUAAGGCGAGUGGGAUAACUAUGGUUAAGGAAUUCGGCAAAAUACCUCUGUAACUUCGGGAAAAAGAGGACCCUAUGAUGGUGACGAGACUUGCUCUCCGAGCUUGAAGGGGUGGCACAAACCAGGGGGAAGCGACUGCUUACCAAAAACACAGCAGCGUGCUAAGCCGUAAGGCGCUGUAUACGCUGUGACGCCUGCCCGGUGCUGGAAGGUUACGGGGAAAGGUUAGACCUCGGUCGAAGCUUUGAACCUAAGCCCCAGUAAACGGCGGCCGUAACUAUGACGGUCCUAAGGUAGCGAAAUUCCUUGUCGGGUAAGUUCCGACCUGCACGAAUGGCGUAACGACUUCCCUACUGUCUCAACCAUAGACCCAGCGAAAUUGAAGUACGAGUAAAGAUGCUCGUUAGCUGCAGAAGGACGGAGAGACCCCGUGGACCUUUACUAUAACUUGAUAUUGUGUUUUGUCUCAUGUUGUGUAGGAUAGGUGGGAGGCUAGGAAGCAUGCACGCCAGUGUGUGUGGAGCCAUCGUUGAAAUACCACCCUGCAUGUGGUGAGGCUCUAACCCAGACCCGUUAUCCGGGCCGGGGACAGUGUCAGGCGGGUAGUUUGACUGGGGCGGUCGCCUCCUAAAGAGUAACGGAGGCGCCCAAAGGUUCCCUCAGCCUGGUUGGCAAUCAGGCGUCGAGUGCAAUGGCAAAAGGGAGCUUGACUGCGAGACCUACACGUCGAGCAGGAGCGAAAGCUGGGCAUAGUGAUCCGGCGGUUGCGUGUGGAAGCGCCGUCGCUCAACGGAUAAAAGGUACCCCGGGGAUAACAGGCUAAUCUUGCCCAAGAGUCCAUAUCGACGGCAAGGUUUGGCACCUCGAUGUCGGCUCAUCGCAUCCUGGGGCUGAAGCAGGUCCCAAGGGUUGGGCUGUUCGCCCAUUAAAGCGGUACGCGAGCUGGGUUCAGAACGUCGUGAGACAGUUCGGUCCCUAUCCUCUGCAGCCGUAAGUGAAUUGCAGAAAGCUGUCCCUAGUACGAGAGGACCGGGACGGACGCAGCUCUCGUGUGCCAGUUGUCGUGCCAACGGCAUGGCUGGUUAGCGACCUGCGGACGGGAUAACCGCUGAAAGCAUCUAAGCGGGAAGCCUCUUCUAAGAUUAAUUCACUCACAGGGUUAACCUGGUAAGUCCCGUGGCAGAACACCACGUUGAUAGGCCGGAAGUGUAAGUGUGGCAACACAUUCAGCUGACCGGUACUAAUCGGACGAGGGCUUGGAACC
Molecule: ribosomal RNA, 1492 nt
Filed under: metagenome
Description: bacterial LSU rRNA
Rfam family: Bacterial large subunit ribosomal RNA
Source: RNAcentral